AACGAACGCUGGCGGCAUGCCUAACACAUGCAAGUCGAACGAGACCUUCAGGUCUAGUGGCGCACGGGUGCGUAACGCGUGGGAACCUGCCCUUAGGUUCGGAAUAACUCCCCGAAAGGGGUGCUAAUACCGGAUAAUGUCUUCGGACCAAAGAUUUAUCGCCUUUGGAUGGGCCCGCGUUGGAUUAGCUAGUUGGUAGGGUAAAAGCCUACCAAGGCGACGAUCCAUAGCUGGUCUGAGAGGAUGAUCAGCCACACUGGGACUGAGACACGGCCCAGACUCCUACGGGGGGCAGCAGGGGGGAAUAUUGGACAAUGGGCGAAAGCCUGAUCCAGCAUGCCGCGUGAGUGAUGAAGGCCUUAGGGUUGUAAAGCUCUUUUACCCGGGAUGAUAAUGACAGUACCGGGAGAAUAAGCUCCGGCUAACUCCGUG
This 432-nucleotide ribosomal RNA is filed under the name uncultured bacterium. RNAcentral's name for it is "partial 16S ribosomal RNA". It matches the Rfam family "Bacterial small subunit ribosomal RNA", at positions 29 to 507 of the family's 1533-position model. The record is from RNAcentral.